Long non-coding RNA from Bolinopsis microptera, 640 nucleotides. RefSeq lists it as uncharacterized. The transcript is spliced from 2 exons. The record is from RefSeq and is a predicted model, not a curated record. NCBI's taxonomy places the organism in Eukaryota, Metazoa, Ctenophora, Tentaculata, Lobata, Bolinopsidae.
ACAAUGUUCCAGUUCAUUCUGCUUGGAGCUGUCCUGAUAAGUGCAAGUUUUGCCGAAUCGCCCACGACCAGUACAAGUUCCUCCUCCAGCUCGCCCCCAGCGAAAGAAAAAGUUGAAAUAACCUUUUGUCGACACGAAAAUAAGAAGAUCGAAAUCGGAGCAAAGGUCUACAAGGGAUGCGAGGAAUGCACAUGCACGACCAAGCCCUAUAUCAGCUUCAUGGGACCCGCGGAUCAAGGACAAGUGGUAUGCAGCGAGGGUACUUUCUGUUGUCUGUUCAUUGACAACGAAGGUAAAACUCAGCGAGCUUACACCGGUGACAAAUACAGUGAUGGUUGUAACACAUGUACAUGUAAAAAGGACAUGAGUGUUGAAGAUUGCACUCAGCAAUGGUGUAAGAACAUGUGUCCGUAUUAUACUGUGGAUAAUAUCGUGAAUCAUACCAAACUGGAAAAGUUAUUGCGAUUGACGACGCAGUCGGCAAAAAGAAAUGUCCCAGAAAGUGCAAAUGCACGCGAUCAGGAAGAAUUAAGUGCACAGGACGCUGCAUUAACGAGAGUCCCAUGGGCAUUUUUGGUUAGGUUAAUAAUUUUAAGGCGGGCGAAUUAGUAAUAGCCCUGUGUUAAAGUUUAAACAAAAA